AAGCCCCGAAAGCAACUACGUUCAUCACCUUGGCUGGCCAGAAUCCCUUCAGGAAGCAACUCUGCUGCACAUACAGUUGGAUGAGUGCUCCUGCUGAACAAUCCUUUGACAACGAAAAACCAAAACCACACCAGAGAUCCAGGUUUAGUAAAGACUUCGAGUCCAGAACUGACAGCCCUGGAGAUCUGAGUACAGCUUCUAGUGUAUGUCCUCCUCAUAGCAUAUGAAGAGGAUGCUCAGAGAUAAGAGGGUCUCCGUGCUCUUGCUGGAAGUAUAAAUGUAUAAAGUAAGAUGAAAAGAAGCAUGCCGUACAAGGGUGAAAAAUGCAGAUGUUAGAAAAUGUUUAUGAAGAGAAUCAUCAUUUCUGUUAUGCCAAGACACUUGCUCAACUGAAGAGGCACAAAAUUGCCACUGCUGGAAUUUCAAGUGAAACCUCAACUCUGUUUAUUCUUAGAAGUUAGUGAAUUUUAGAGUGUCACCUGUGACCAAACGGCCUGAAUUAUGUUCCUGUUGUAUUUAUAUUGACUUCACAGAGAACAGACCGGAGCCCAAGAAGCCGUAACUAAGUAGGAAAGGAGUAUGAAUGAGCCUAUGAAGAAGACUCUGAAUGUAGGACUUUACUGUAGAGUAUUUCUGCACAGUUUUGAAGAUAAAGCUUGUCCUGCAUGAAGUUAAAGUAGAUAGUAAUAACACAAUCACAUGGAUGUAAUUAGUUAUCUCUCUACCUGGUGUGCAUGUGGGUUUGUAACAAAUGUUGUUACUUGUUUGGUACUGUGAUACUUCUGAUGUUAAUUAUUAGUAAUUAAUAAUAAUAGUAAUAAUUAGUAAUUAUUAGUAAUUAGCAUUUCACUACAGAAGGGAACGGAGAGGUGUGGAUCCAGUAUUAAGCUGGAAAACAUUGAUGCAAAGAUUCAGAAUUUCUUCCCUCUUUCAUGGGAGAAUAAAAUUUUAAAGGUUUUAAAUGACUUCAACUUAAUAGGUAAAGACAUCACUCAAUUCUGGAUUGUCCUUUUGUGACACAAAAACACUUUUUGGACACUACCUUUACUGUUGUGUGAAAUGUUUACAGUAUGAGCAAUGCAAAUGUCAAAGAGAAAUUCCACUUUGAGCCAUUGAAGACAAGUUCAUAGUUCUGGCUGAAAAUAGGUGAGAUUUGAUUCUGUUAAAGUUUAAUUUUGAAAUUGUUAGAGCCCAACUCUCUAAGCAAAAAUUACAGUGACAAAACUUAUAAAGGGCAAGAACUAAAAUAAAUGUUAAUUAGUAGUAUCUGUACAUAUCUUUUUAUUUAUUCUUAAUAACAGUGUCUGAACUCCAACAAUUAUAGCAGCUGAUUCUCAGUACCUUUAAUGAGAUAGUUAUGACUGUUGUGUUUUGCAUCUCCAGUUCUGAAAGUACUUUGAGAUGUAUUUCUGGAGCUAGUGAAGAUGAGCACUACUGUUCAGUGUAAGUUGGAUACUCUAUAUAUCUAAAAUUCAGGCUUUUUGUGUCUUAGUGGCACAUCUAAGCUUAGGUCUGCUAAAAUUAGUAGCCCCCUUAAAAACAAACAAACAAACAAAACACAACUGUAGAUGUGUCACAUAAGGUACUGUGGCUUAAGAUCAGAAAAUAACAAGAAGAAUUAAGGUGCUUGUCUCUGAUUUGCAUAGACAUUCAGAUGAUGCUCUCAAUUUUUGUCUUUUUGAAAUUCACAUGCAUUAUCAAGGUUAUAAAUCAUGCUUGUGAGCCAGAAUACCUGCUUUCACUGUUAGAAGGCAUGUUAACAGCAUUAAAACUUUUCUGAAACUUGAAAGCCUUCCAUGUUCAUUUUUUUAAAUAAGAACUGUAAAUAACAGGCCAUUUUGGAGUAUAAUAAAUGAUCCCUUACAGAGCCUAAUAAUAACUUAGUUUAGUUAUAGCCCUUCUUCUUGCAAUAGACAGCUUACAAAAAAAUAUUCCUACAGCAUACACAUAAUUUUAGAGAUCUGGAAUAAAGUUUUGGAGCAAGUCCAUUCAUCUGUUUAGUACAAGUACGAAAAUUACUAGGAAUAUCUUUAACCUAUUUCUCAUCUUAGGAAGCUGCCUUAUCUUUUGGGGUUUCAGUUUGCCAAUAGGACUCUCUUUGCAGGUAUUUCCUUUCAACACAGACUGCUGCUUAUCCUCAUUGAUCAAAUCUCAUCAAUCAGAUACUAAAGAUUUAUAAAGUAGGUUUAAAAAUAAUAAUUUAAAAAUUAAUGAAGUCUGCAUGCCUCUGAAUUUGGAGUCUCUGAAGAAUCAUAUUUUCCAGAUUUUAUUGGAACCCUCAAGAGUAAUAUUUAAAGUUUUUUAAAUUAAUUACAGCACGGACUCCUACUUAACCACACAGCUCUGAAAGUUGCAAAUUAAAAGAGAUAACAAGAUCUGUGAAAUAGCUGAGAGGCCAAAAUAAUGCAGCCAUAUUAUGAGCACUAACAGUAAUGUUAUAGUGUUCUUUACCUAUGAUCUGAGCAGAUACCCAUUUUAAAGCAAAAUAAUGUUUAAUUGUCGUGAGG
Long non-coding RNA from Oxyura jamaicensis (ruddy duck), 2507 nucleotides. RefSeq lists it as uncharacterized. The transcript has 2 exons. NCBI's taxonomy places the organism in Eukaryota, Metazoa, Chordata, Aves, Anseriformes, Anatidae. The record is from RefSeq and is a predicted model, not a curated record.